RNAcentral lists this unclassified non-coding RNA (331 nucleotides) under soil metagenome. RNAcentral describes it as "partial contains 5.8S ribosomal RNA, internal transcribed spacer 2, and large subunit ribosomal RNA". The stretch from base 1 to 120 matches the Rfam family "5.8S ribosomal RNA", at positions 35 to 154 of the family's 154-position model. The record is from RNAcentral.
GAUGAAGAACGUAGCGAAAUGCGAUAAGUAAUGUGAAUUGCAGAAUUCAGUGAAUCAUCGAAUCUUUGAACGCACAUUGCGCCCCCUGGUAUUCCGGGGGGCAUGCCUGUUCGAGCGUCAUUUCACCACUCAAGCCUCGCUUGGUAUUGGGCAACGCGGUCCGCCGCGUGCCUCAAAUCGUCCGGCUGGGUCUUCUGUCCCCUAAGCGUUGUGGAAACUAUUCGCUAAAGGGUGUUCGGGAGGCUACGCCGUAAAACAACCCCAUUUCUAAGGUUGACCUCAGAUCAGGUAGGGAUACCCGCUGAACUUAAGCAUAUCAAUAAGCGGAGGA